AGAUGUUCAUCAACAUGUCUUGUGAUAGUAUCAAAUUGAACUCCUCCCUCUAUUACAACACCAUUAACAAAGUUGAACUGAAAAAAAUAAAAAGAUAGUGAGUUGCAAAACAAACGCAGCCGAUAGAGAAUAUAGCCUACAUAACUUUGACUGGGAACACAAACCUGUUGGUAUUGGCCAUUUCUGGUUAAAGUAAUACACACCUCCCCAGCAAAGGCUAACUUUUGUUAUAGACUGAAAUAAAAUACAAGAGUAAAUAGUUAAAAAACAAACAUAUGGUUUUGUUUAUCCUAAAUGAAACUUAUGUUUUUAUGAAAAUUUUAAACCUUUUUGAUGUCUUCUUGGAAGGAGAUGGCAGGUACAAAUCCACAUAACUUGAAAAAUUAUUAGUGAGCAAAUGGCCAUCUAGAUGAACCUUUAGUUUGUGGUUGUUUCUUCUUUUGUAAAGUGCA
This 452-nucleotide long non-coding RNA is filed under the name Sorghum bicolor (sorghum). RNAcentral describes it as "long non-coding RNA (SBIC_LNC017628)". The record is from RNAcentral. Lineage: Eukaryota; Viridiplantae; Streptophyta; Magnoliopsida; Poales; Poaceae.